Molecule: ribosomal RNA, 433 nt
Filed under: uncultured bacterium
Lineage: Bacteria
Description: partial 16S ribosomal RNA
Rfam family: Bacterial small subunit ribosomal RNA
Source: RNAcentral
AACGAACGCUGGCGGCAUGCCUAACACAUGCAAGUCGAACGAGACCUUCGGGUCUAGUGGCGCACGGGUGCGUAACGCGUGGGAACCUGCCCUUAGGUUCGGAAUAACUCCCCGAAAGGGGUGCUAAUACCGGAUAAUGUCUUCGGACCAAAGAUUUAUCGCCUUUGGAUGGGCCCGCGUUGGAUUAGCUAGUUGGUAGGGUAAAAGCCUACCAAGGCGACGAUCCAUAGCUGGUCAGAGAGGAUGAUCAGCCACACUGGGACUGAGACACGGCCCAGACUCCUACGGGAGGCAGCAGUGGGGAAUAUUGGACAAUGGGCGAAAGCCUGAUCCAGCAAUGCCGCGUGAGUGAUGAAGGCCUUAGGGUUGUAAAGCUCUUUUACCUGGGAUGAUAAUGACAGUACCGAGAGAAUAAGCUCCGGCUAACUCCGUG